CUAGGUUUGACAUGGACCAGAUCGCCGGUGAAAGUCGGUUUCCCUUCGGGGCUGGUUCACAGGUGCUGCAUGGCUGUCGUCAGCUCGUGUCGUGAGAUGUCGGGUUAAGUCCCGCAACGAGCGCAACCCCUGCCCUCUGUUGCUACCGGGUCAUGCCGGGCACUCUGAGGGGACUGCCUCGGUUAACGGGGAGGAAGGUGGGGAUGACGUCAAGUCCUCAUGGCCUUUAUGCCUAGGGCUACACACGUGCUACAAUGGUCAGGACAAAGGGUUGCUACUUCGCAAGGAGACGCCAAUCCCAAAAACCUGGCCCCAGUUCGGAUGGUCGGCUGCAACUCGCCGGCUUGAAGCUGGAAUCGCUAGUAAUCGGAGAUCAGCACGCUCCGGUGAAUACGUUCCCGGGCCUUGUACACACCGCCCGUCACACCACGAAAGCUGCGUGUACCCGAAGUCGCUGAGCUAACCCGCAAGGGAGGCAGGUGCCGAAGGUAUGCGGGGUGAUUGGGGUG
This 509-nucleotide ribosomal RNA is filed under the name uncultured bacterium. Its description in RNAcentral is "bacterial SSU rRNA". It matches the Rfam family "Bacterial small subunit ribosomal RNA", at positions 975 to 1482 of the family's 1533-position model. The record is from RNAcentral.